Non-coding RNA from Potamilus streckersoni, 88 nucleotides. The record is from the annotation of a GenBank genome assembly. NCBI's taxonomy places the organism in Eukaryota, Metazoa, Mollusca, Bivalvia, Unionida, Unionidae.
GCCAAAAUUGUGGCUUAGUGGUCAGAGCGUCCGCCUCGGAUGCGGGAAGUAGCGGGUUCGAACACUGGCCUAUGUCUCUCCUAUGGCA